Papaver somniferum (opium poppy) is the source of this 337-nucleotide long non-coding RNA. RefSeq lists it as uncharacterized. The transcript has 2 exons. The record is from RefSeq and is a predicted model, not a curated record. NCBI's taxonomy places the organism in Eukaryota, Viridiplantae, Streptophyta, Magnoliopsida, Ranunculales, Papaveraceae.
GUUUGCUCCAAUCAGCUAGCUUAAGUUGAAAAUGGGUCAAAGUUCAUCAUUUUCUUUGAAGGAACUAGAUCUGGAAUGAGUAUUCAUCUCAAAAUCAGAGUUAGAAAUACAGAUCAGGAUGAUAUUAGGCUUCACCAGUAUGAAUCUUGUUUCUAAGCUUCUCCAGUGAUUUCAAAGGACGGUGAUGGUGGUGCUUCAGCUUUGUCCACGAGUUUUGAUGGGAUUGUAAUUUUUGUUUUAUUUUUAAGAAAUUGAAUUUUAUUUCCGUAAUUUUGUUUUGAUGGAGAUUGUAUUUUAUAUUAUUCCCUUAAAAAAUAAAAAGUGAAAUUGUAAUUUA